Eurytemora carolleeae is the source of this 644-nucleotide long non-coding RNA. RefSeq lists it as uncharacterized. The transcript is spliced from 2 exons. The record is from RefSeq and is a predicted model, not a curated record. Lineage: Eukaryota; Metazoa; Arthropoda; Copepoda; Calanoida; Temoridae.
UCCCUUUAACAAUUUUGUAAAGAUUUAAUGAUUUUAAUCCUUGAAUUAUCUUGAAAUUUCACCAGUUUGUCUUAUGCUCCGUCUCCGAUAGUGUUUGAAUUCACAUUAGUUUUUUAUAUUUAUUGUAAAGAUUGGAAUAGAAUUAGUUAAUCCGCGCAAUAAGGAUUUGAUAAUCCGUGCGAACUAAAUUUAACCUUUUACCAGUGCUCAGAAUCCGAAUGAUAAGCAUCUUUCCGAUUCCUGGAUCCGGAUCCGGAUCCGGUGAAGACCACUCCAACAUUUGUGUUAUUUAUUAUAAUUGAUUUGAAAUCAAGAAUUUGAAAUCGGGACGGAUUCAUUGUUCAGGAUCUCUAGGAUUCUGCAUCUAGGAUUCAGGAUCUAGGAUUCAGGAUAUAGGAUUCAGGAUAUAGGAUUCAGGAUAUAGAUGCGUAUAACAUGGAUUCUAAGCUCAGUUUGUUAACCCUAUGCAACUUCUAAACGAAGGCUGAAAGUUUUCAACCCUGUAAUUGUAAAAAGAAAAUAAUUAUAUGUAUUGUAUAUAUAUAUAUAGAAAAUAUUUUUCAAUUUAUUAUUAUGAUGCAUUUUGACAGUGUACUUGUGAAAAAUGUUUUAACUUGGUCAGAAAUAAAUUUAAUACCGUUUUA